This 639-nucleotide ribosomal RNA is filed under the name uncultured bacterium. RNAcentral describes it as "bacterial SSU rRNA". It matches the Rfam family "Bacterial small subunit ribosomal RNA", at positions 232 to 885 of the family's 1533-position model. The record is from RNAcentral.
CGCGGCCUAUCAGCUUGUUGGUGGGGUAACGGCCCACCAAGGCAUCGACGGGUAGCUGGUCUGAGAGGACGAUCAGCCACACUGGGACUGAGACACGGCCCAGACUCCUACGGGAGGCAGCAGUGGGGAAUAUUGCGCAAUGGGCGAAAGCCUGACGCAGCAACGCCGCGUGGGGGAUGAAGGCUUUCGGGUUGUAAACCCCUUUCAGUGAUGACGAAAAUGACGGUAAUCACAGAAGAAGCCCCGGCCAACUACGUGCCAGCAGCCGCGGUAACACGUAGGGGGCAAGCGUUGUCCGGAUUUAUUGGGCGUAAAGAGCUCGUAGGCGGUUGCGUAAGUCGGACGUGAAAACUCAGGGCUCAACCCUGAGAUGCCGUUCGAUACUGCGCUGACUAGAGUCCGGUAGGGGAGCAUGGAAUUCCUGGUGUAGCGGUGAAAUGCGCAGAUAUCAGGAGGAACACCAGUGGCGAAGGCGGUGCUCUGGGCCGGAACUGACGCUGAGGAGCGAAAGCAUGGGUAGCAAACAGGAUUAGAUACCCUGGUAGUCCAUGCCGUAAACGUUGGGCACUAGGUGUGGGGUCUACUUAACGGAUUCCGUGCCGUAGCUAACGCAUUAAGUGCCCCGCCUGGGGAGUACGG